AAAAGGAUGUGGGAUUUCUAAGACAACUAGGAUGUUGGCUUAGAAGCAGCCAUUCAUUAAAAGAGUGCGUAAUAGCUCACUAGUCAAGAGAUCCUGCGCCGAAAAUGUCCGGGGCUCAAACUUACCACCGAAGCUACGGGUUCACACUUAGUGUGAGCGGUAGAGGAGCGUUGUAAUCGGGCUGAAGUCGUACCGUAAGGAGCGGUGGACUGAUUACAAGUGAGAAUGUUGGCAUUAGUAGCGAGAUGUAGGCGAGAAUCCUACAGGCCGAAUAUCUAAGGUUUCCUGGGUAAAGUUUGUCUUCCCAGGGUUAGUCGGGACCUAAGGCGAGGCCGAAAGGCGUAGUCGAUGGACAAUUGGUUGAUAUUCCAAUACCACUAUCAUCGUUAUUACCGAGGGUGUGACGGAGAAGGAUAGGAUGUGCUAGCUAUUGGAUGCUAGUCGAAGCGUUUAGGGAGUUAGAGUAGGCAAAUCCGCUCUAACAAUUCUGAGGCGUUAUAGGGAAGGUUCUACGGAACCGAAGUAUCUGAUUCCAUGCUUCCAAGAAAAGCAUCUAGGGAGAGAAGUAGUGCCCGUACCGCAAACCGACACAGGUAGAUGAGGAGAGAAUCCUAAGGCCGACGGAAGAAUUGCAGUUAAGGAACUAGGCAAAUUGACCCCGUAACUUCGGGAGAAGGGGUGCCUACGAAAGUAGGCCGCAGAGAAUAGGCACAAGCAACUGUUUAACAAAAACACAGGUCUCUGCUAAAGCGUAAGCUGAUGUAUAGGGGCUGACGCCUGCCCGGUGCUGGAAGGUUAAGGGGAACACUUAGCGCAAGCGAAGGUGUGAACUUAAGCCCCAGUAAACGGCGGCCGUAACUAUAACGGUCCUAAGGUAGCGAAAUUCCUUGUCAGGUAAGUUCUGACCCGCAUGAAAGGCGUAAUGAUUUGGGCACUGUCUCAACAGCCCGCCCGGCGAAAUUGUAGUACCGGUGAAGAUGCCGGUUACCCGCGACAAGACGGAAAGACCCCAUGGAGCUUUACUGUAGCCUAAUAUUGGGUUUCGAUGUUGCAUGCACAGGAUAGAUGGGACACUGGGAAACAAUCGCUUUGGCGGUUGCGGAGUGGCCGUUGGGAUACCAUCCUUGCGAUAUUGGAAUUCUAACCUGCGGCUCUGAAUCGAGUCGGGGGACAUUGUUAGGUGGGCAGUUUGACUGGGGCGGUCGCCUCCUAAAAAGUAACGGAGGCGUUCAAAGGUUCGCUCAGCUUGAACGGAAAUCAAGCAAAAGAGUGCAAACGCAGAAGCGAGCCUAACUGCGAGACUGACGGGUCGAGCAGUAACGAAAGUUGGAGUUAGUGAUCCGGUGGUAUGUGAGUGGAAAUGCCAUCGCUCAACGGAUAAAAGUUACCCUGGGGAUAACAGGCUGAUCUCCCCCAAGAGUCCACAUCGACGGGGAGGUUUGGCACCUCGAUGUCGGCUCAUCGCAUCCUGGGGCUGAAGUAGGUCCCAAGGGUUGGGCUGUUCGCCCAUUAAAGCGGCACGCGAGCUGGGUUCAGAACGUCGUGAGACAGUUCGGUCCCUAUCCGUCGCGGGCGUAGGAAAUUUGAGAGGAGCUGUCCUUAGUACGAGAGGACCGGGAUGGACUGACCUAUGGUGUACCAGUUGUUUCGCCAGAAGCAUUGCUGGGUAGCUAAGUCGGGAAGGGAUAAACGCUGAAAGCAUCUAAGUGUGAAGCCCACCUCAAGAUGAGAUUUCCCAUAGCAUAAGCUAGUAAGACCCCUUGA
RNAcentral lists this ribosomal RNA (1764 nucleotides) under human gut metagenome. RNAcentral's name for it is "bacterial LSU rRNA". It matches the Rfam family "Bacterial large subunit ribosomal RNA", at positions 1067 to 2841 of the family's 2925-position model. The record is from RNAcentral.